UACGAAGGGGGCUAGCGUUGCUCGGAAUUACUGGGCGUAAAGGGCACGUAGGCGGAUGUUUAAGUCGGGGGUGAAAGCCCGGGGCUCAACCUCGGAAUUGCCUUCGAUACUGGACAUCUUGAGUACGGGAGAGGUGAGUGGAACUCCGAGUGUAGAGGUGAAAUUCGUAGAUAUUCGGAAGAACACCAGUGGCGAAGGCGACUCACUGGCCCGUUACUGACGCUGAGGCGCGAAAGCGUGGGGAGCAAACAGG
RNAcentral lists this ribosomal RNA (253 nucleotides) under uncultured bacterium. Its description in RNAcentral is "partial 16S ribosomal RNA". It matches the Rfam family "Bacterial small subunit ribosomal RNA", at positions 524 to 776 of the family's 1533-position model. The record is from RNAcentral.